Molecule: ribosomal RNA, 2906 nt
Filed under: Klebsiella michiganensis
Lineage: Bacteria; Pseudomonadati; Pseudomonadota; Gammaproteobacteria; Enterobacterales; Enterobacteriaceae
Description: 23S ribosomal RNA
Rfam family: Bacterial large subunit ribosomal RNA
Source: RNAcentral
GGUUAAGCGACUAAGCGUACACGGUGGAUGCCCUGGCAGUCAGAGGCGAUGAAGGACGUGCUAAUCUGCGAAAAGCGUCGGUAAGGUGAUAUGAACCGUUACAGCCGGCGAUGUCCGAAUGGGGAAACCCAGUGCAAUUCGUUGCACUAUCGUUUGAUGAAUACAUAGUCAAACGAGGCGAACCGGGGGAACUGAAACAUCUAAGUACCCCGAGGAAAAGAAAUCAACCGAGAUUCCCCCAGUAGCGGCGAGCGAACGGGGAGCAGCCCGGAGUCUGAAUCAGCUUGUGUGUUAGUGGAAGCGUCUGGAAAGUCGCAGGGUACAGGGUGAUACUCCCGUACACUAAAACGCACAGGUUGUGAACUCGAAGAGUAGGGCGGGACACGUGGUAUCCUGUCUGAAUAUGGGGGGACCAUCCUCCAAGGCUAAAUACUCCUGACUGACCGAUAGUGAACCAGUACCGUGAGGGAAAGGCGAAAAGAACCCCGGCGAGGGGAGUGAAAAAGAACCUGAAACCGUGUACGUACAAGCAGUAGGAGCCCACUAGUUGGGUGACUGCGUACCUUUUGUAUAAUGGGUCAGCGACUUAUAUUCUGUAGCAAGGUUAACCGUAUAGGGGAGCCGCAGGGAAACCGAGUCUUAACUGGGCGUUAAGUUGCAGGGUAUAGACCCGAAACCCGGUGAUCUAGCCAUGGGCAGGUUGAAGGUUGGGUAACACUAACUGGAGGACCGAACCGACUAAUGUUGAAAAAUUAGCGGAUGACUUGUGGCUGGGGGUGAAAGGCCAAUCAAACCGGGAGAUAGCUGGUUCUCCCCGAAAGCUAUUUAGGUAGCGCCUCGUGAAUUCAUCUUCGGGGGUAGAGCACUGUUUCGGCUAGGGGGUCAUCCCGACUUACCAACCCGAUGCAAACUACGAAUACCGAAGAAUGUUAUCACGGGAGACACACGGCGGGUGCUAACGUCCGUCGUGAAGAGGGAAACAACCCAGACCGCCAGCUAAGGUCCCAAAGUCAUGGUUAAGUGGGAAACGAUGUGGGAAGGCCCAGACAGCCAGGAUGUUGGCUUAGAAGCAGCCAUCAUUUAAAGAAAGCGUAAUAGCUCACUGGUCGAGUCGGCCUGCGCGGAAGAUGUAACGGGGCUAAACCAUGCACCGAAGCUGCGGCAGCGACACUAUGUGUUGUUGGGUAGGGGAGCGUUCUGUAAGCCGUUGAAGGUGGCCUGUGAGGGUUGCUGGAGGUAUCAGAAGUGCGAAUGCUGACAUAAGUAACGAUAAUGCGGGUGAAAAACCCGCACGCCGGAAGACCAAGGGUUCCUGUCCAACGUUAAUCGGGGCAGGGUGAGUCGACCCCUAAGGCGAGGCCGAAAGGCGUAGUCGAUGGGAAACAGGUUAAUAUUCCUGUACUCGGUGUUACUGCGAAGGGGGGACGGAGAAGGCUAUGUUGGCCGGGCGACGGUUGUCCCGGUUUAAGCAUGUAGGCGGAUGUUCCAGGUAAAUCCGGAACGUUACUAACGCUGAGGUGUGAUGACGAGGCACUACGGUGCUGAAGUGACAAAUGCCCUGCUUCCAGGAAAAGCCUCUAAGCAUCAGGUAACAUCAAAUCGUACCCCAAACCGACACAGGUGGUCAGGUAGAGAAUACCAAGGCGCUUGAGAGAACUCGGGUGAAGGAACUAGGCAAAAUGGUGCCGUAACUUCGGGAGAAGGCACGCUGAUGGUAGGUGAAGUGACUUGCUCAUGGAGCUGAAAUCAGUCGAAGAUACCAGCUGGCUGCAACUGUUUAUUAAAAACACAGCACUGUGCAAACACGAAAGUGGACGUAUACGGUGUGACGCCUGCCCGGUGCCGGAAGGUUAAUUGAUGGGGUUAUCCGUAAGGAGAAGCUCUUGAUCGAAGCCCCGGUAAACGGCGGCCGUAACUAUAACGGUCCUAAGGUAGCGAAAUUCCUUGUCGGGUAAGUUCCGACCUGCACGAAUGGCGUAAUGAUGGCCAGGCUGUCUCCACCCGAGACUCAGUGAAAUUGAACUCGCUGUGAAGAUGCAGUGUACCCGCGGCAAGACGGAAAGACCCCGUGAACCUUUACUAUAGCUUGACACUGAACACUGGUCCUUGAUGUGUAGGAUAGGUGGGAGGCUUUGAAGUGUGGACGCCAGUCUGCAUGGAGCCAUCCUUGAAAUACCACCCUUUAAUGGCUGGUGUUCUAACGUGGGCCCCUGAUCGGGGUUGCGGACAGUGUCUGGUGGGUAGUUUGACUGGGGCGGUCUCCUCCUAAAGAGUAACGGAGGAGCACGAAGGUCAGCUAAUCCUGGUCGGACAUCAGGAGGUUAGUGCAAUGGCAUAAGCUGGCUUGACUGCGAGCGUGACGGCGCGAGCAGGUGCGAAAGCAGGUCAUAGUGAUCCGGUGGUUCUGAAUGGAAGGGCCAUCGCUCAACGGAUAAAAGGUACUCCGGGGAUAACAGGCUGAUACCGCCCAAGAGUUCAUAUCGACGGCGGUGUUUGGCACCUCGAUGUCGGCUCAUCACAUCCUGGGGCUGAAGUAGGUCCCAAGGGUAUGGCUGUUCGCCAUUUAAAGUGGUACGCGAGCUGGGUUUAGAACGUCGUGAGACAGUUCGGUCCCUAUCUGCCGUGGGCGCUGGAGAAUUGAGGGGGGCUGCUCCUAGUACGAGAGGACCGGAGUGGACGCAUCACUGGUGUUCGGGUUGUCAUGCCAAUGGCAUUGCCCGGUAGCUAAAUGCGGAAGAGAUAAGUGCUGAAAGCAUCUAAGCACGAAACUUGCCCCGAGAUGAGUUCUCCCUGACCCUUUAAGGGUCCUGAAGGAACGUUGAAGACGACGACGUUGAUAGGCCGGGUGUGUAAGCGCAGCGAUGCGUUGAGCUAACCGGUACUAAUGAACCGUGAGGCUUAACCUU